Nicotiana attenuata is the source of this 304-nucleotide non-coding RNA. The record is from Rfam. NCBI's taxonomy places the organism in Eukaryota, Viridiplantae, Streptophyta, Magnoliopsida, Solanales, Solanaceae.
GCCGAGCCAAGUAACGUGGGCUUGUUACCUGAGUGGGGGCACUGAAUUGGUGGGAUGUUGGGCUGACUCAGAAGGUAGGACAUUGUGGGCUAUUAUCUGGCCUGCCCUGUCCAAGCGUAGAGUUGGGCUACGUGGCCCAAGUGAAGACAUGGGUUGCUUAGCUCCUAAAGAGGGGCGGAAUGCGUGAGGCUGGUUUUACAGAGCAACGAACAGCUUCCGCUCUGUGCAGUGGAAGGAUAACGGGCCAGUGUUCACAGCGUCCAACAAAAGCCUGAUGGGCUGCUCCAAUUAAACCACCAUUUUU